Molecule: ribosomal RNA, 301 nt
Filed under: uncultured bacterium
Lineage: Bacteria
Description: partial 16S ribosomal RNA
Rfam family: Bacterial small subunit ribosomal RNA
Source: RNAcentral
CAGUAGCCGCGGUAAUACGAAGGGUGCAAGCGUUGAUCGGAAUUACUGGGCGUAAAGCGUGCGUAGGCGGUUUGUUAAGUCUGCUGUGAAAUCCCCGGGCUCAACCUGGGAAUGGCUGUGGAUACUGGCAAGCUAGAGUGUGUCAGAGGAUGGUGGAAUUCCCGGUGUAGCGGUGAAAUGCGUAGAGAUCGGGAGGAACAUCAGUGGCGAAGGCGGCCAUCUGGGACAACACUGACGCUGAGGCACGAAAGCGUGGGGAGCAAACAGGAUUAGAUACCCCCGUAGUCCCUGUCUCUUAUAC